UACGGAGGGGGCGAGCGUUAUUCGGAAUUAUUGGGCGUAAAGGGCGCGUAGGCGGCUGUACAAGUCAAAGGUGAAAUCCCUCGGCUCAACUGAGGAACUGCCUUUGAAACUGUACGGCUUGAGGCCGGGAGGGGGUAGCGGAAUUCCCAGUGUAGCGGUGAAAUGCGUAGAUACUGGGAGGAACACCAGUGGCGAAGGCGGCUACCUGGACCGGUUCUGACGCUGAGACGCGAAAGCCAGGGGAGCAAACGGG
RNAcentral lists this ribosomal RNA (253 nucleotides) under uncultured bacterium. RNAcentral describes it as "partial 16S ribosomal RNA". It matches the Rfam family "Bacterial small subunit ribosomal RNA", at positions 524 to 776 of the family's 1533-position model. The record is from RNAcentral.